GAUGAAGAACGCAGCGAAAUGCGAUAAGUAAUGUGAAUUGCAGAAUUCAGUGAAUCAUCGAAUCUUUGAACGCACAUUGCGCCCGCCAGUAUUCUGGCGGGCAUGCCUGUUCGAGCGUCAUUACAACCCUCAGGCCCCCGGGCCUGGCGUUGGGGAUCGGCGGAAGCCCCCUGUGGGCACACGCCGUCCCUCAAAUACAGUGGCGGUCCCGCCGCAGCUUCCAUUGCGUAGUAGCUAACACCUCGCAACUGGAGAGCGGCGCGGCCAUGCCGUAAAACACCCAACUUCUGAAUGUUGACCUCGAAUCAGGUAGGAAUACCCGCUGAACUUAAGCAUAUCAUAAGGGAGGA
Molecule: unclassified non-coding RNA, 350 nt
Filed under: soil metagenome
Description: partial contains 5.8S ribosomal RNA, internal transcribed spacer 2, and large subunit ribosomal RNA
Rfam family: 5.8S ribosomal RNA (bases 1-120)
Source: RNAcentral